CUGCUCAACUUUGGCAGCACAUUUACCAAAAUUGGACUGAGACAGAGAAGAUUAACGUGGCCUCUGCACAGGAAGACCGUCAGAUUCCUACAGCUUUGU
Panthera pardus (leopard) is the source of this 99-nucleotide small nuclear RNA. The record is from Ensembl. Lineage: Eukaryota; Metazoa; Chordata; Mammalia; Carnivora; Felidae.